This 571-nucleotide ribosomal RNA is filed under the name uncultured marine eukaryote. Its description in RNAcentral is "SSU rRNA". It matches the Rfam family "Eukaryotic small subunit ribosomal RNA", at positions 616 to 1188 of the family's 1831-position model. The record is from RNAcentral.
UGGUUAAAAAGCUCGUAGUUGGAUCUCAACAGCCUUGAAGCGGUUAACUUUGUAGUUUUACUGCUUUAUAGGCUGUGCUUUUGCUGGAGGUUUAGGGGUGCUCUUGAUCGAGUGUCUCUGGAUGCCAGCAGGUUUACUUUGAAAAAAUUAGAGUGCUCAAAGCAGGCUAAAAUGCCUGAAUAUUCGUGCAUGGAAUAAUAGAAUAGGAUGUCGAUCCUAUUUUGUUGGUUUUCGGGACUCGACAUAAUGAUAAAUAGGGACAGACGGGGGCAUUUGUAUUCAAACGACAGAGGUGAAAUUCUUGGACCGUUUGAAGACAAACUACUGCGAAAGCAUUUGCCAAGAAUGUUUUCAUUAAUCAAGAACGAAAGUUAGAGGUUCGAAGGCGAUUAGAUACCGCCCUAGUUCUAACCAUAAACGAUGCCAGCUAGCGAUCUGCCUGCGUUUUUACUGUAGACUGGGCAGGAAGCUUCCGGGAAACCAAAGCAUUUGGGUUCCAGGGGAAGUAUGGUUGCAAAGCUGAAACUUAAAGGAAUUGACGGAAGGGCACCACCAGGAGUGGAGCCUGUGG